Molecule: ribosomal RNA, 3555 nt
Filed under: Triticum aestivum (bread wheat)
Lineage: Eukaryota; Viridiplantae; Streptophyta; Magnoliopsida; Poales; Poaceae
Description: partial small subunit ribosomal RNA
Source: RNAcentral
GGGAUAAAGAGUUGGCUUACAAUCGCCACUUCACACAAAUAACAAUUUAAACUUACAUCAUCCAGAGUACAAUCAAAAGUCCUAUUAUGAAACCAAAAUAAAGGAAGACAACCCCAAAUGGUAGAUCCCCGAUCGCCCCAACUGGGCUCCACUACUGAUCCUCCGGAAAAGUUACAUAACAACGACCAAGAUCUUCGUCGAGCUCCCACUUGAGCUCGGUUGUGUCACCUGCACUGGUAUCACCGGCACCUGCAACUGUUUUGGAAGUAACCGUGAGUCACAAGGACUCGGCAAUCUCACACUCGCGAGAUCAAGACUAUUUAAGCUUAUGGGUAGGGUAAGGUGAUGAGGUGGAGCUGCAGCAAGCACUAAGCAAGUAUGGUGGCUAACAUACGCAAAUAAGAGCGAGAAGAGAAGCAACGCAAUGAUCGAGAAGCUAGAAGUGAUAAAGAAGUGAUCCUGAAACUACUUACGUUCAAGCAUAACACAAGACCGUGUUCACUUCCCGGACUCCGCCGGAAAGAGACCAUCACGGCUACACACGCAGUUGAUGCAUUUUAAUUUAAGUCAAGUGUCAAGUUCUCUACAACCGAACAUUACCAAAUUCCCAUCUGCCACAUAACCGUGGGCACGGCUUUCGAAAGUUUAAACCCUGCAGGGGUGUCCCAACUUAGCCCAUCACAAGCUCACGAUCCGUGGAGACAAUCCUCCAUCGCGGGACACCCGAUCAGACUCAGAAUCCCGGUGCACAAGACAUUUCGACAAUGCUAAAACAAGACCAGACAGACCGCCUGAAUGUGCCGACAAACCCCGAUAGGAGUUGCACAUAUCUCAUUCUCAGGGCCCACCGGAUGAGCACUCCGUACAACUAAAACCAGCCAUCAAGUUUCCCCGAGGUGGCGCUGCAAAGGACUCUAGUUCGGACCAACACCCAUAGGAGCACUGGCCCGGGGGGUUUAAAAUAAAGAUGACCCUCGGGCUCGCGAAAACCCAAGGGAAAGUUAUAGGUUGUUAGGCAAAUGUAAAACCAAGGUUGGGCCUUGCUGGAGGAGUUUUAGUCAAUGCAAACUAUCAAGAGGGUCCCAUACCCCUCAUCGUGUUAGGGACGCAAAAUCAAGGAACAUAACACCGACAUGACGGAAACUAGGGCGGCAAGAUUGGAACAAAACACCAGGCAUAAGGCCGAGCCUUCCACCCUUUGCCAAGUAUAUAGAUGCAUUAAUUAAAUAAUAGAUAUAGUGAUAUCCCAACAAAUCCAUGUUCCAACAGGAAACUACAUGCACGACACCUGCAAGUAGCAAUGCUAUAAGAGGGGCUGAGCAAAAGCAGUAACCUAGCCAAACAACAGUUUGCUAGGAUGGUUGAAAAAUGUUAGAGGCUAACAUGGCAAUUUGGGAGGCUUGAAAAACAAGUGGUAGGUAGCGCGACAUAACGAUAGAGCGAAAAACUAGCAAGCAAAGAUAGAAGUGAUUUCGAGGGUAAUGGUCAUCUUGCCUAAAAUCCCGCAAGGAAGAAGAACGAGUCCAUGAAGAAGACAAACGGACGUAGUCGAAUGAAUCCUCACAAACGCGACAUUGCCGGAAACUAACAAGAAGCAACUCCGGAAAGGAGCAAACAACAUUGUAAACAACCAUCACUUAAAUGUGGCAUGAUGCACAAUCAAGUAUGAUGCAUGUCCGAUUUAAUGAGGCAUGGCAUGGCAAAGUGCAACAACCAAUACUAGAAAUUAAGUGGAGCUCAAUAUGCAACGAGUUGCCUAUUGGCGAAACACCACAAGACUUAUUUAGUUCUCUCUUGGUUAUGUACUCGUCAAUAUUAAAUGUUGUUAAACAUGGCAAGAAGUGAAACAUAUAUAAACUAACUAUUUAGGCAAGUUUAAAUGAGGCCAGAAAUAACAAACAACAAAUCCGAAAAAUCCUCAUGUGCAUAUUUUGGAUUUGCUACUGUUCUUCCCUAAACCAUAUUUUAGAGUUGUUAAACAUGUAACAUGAGUGCACCAUGUUAAACUAGGCAUUAUUCUACCCCAUUUACAUAUAAAGUUUAUUUAAAACCGAGCUACGAUUAAUUAGUUAUGAAAUAAAGCAUUUUAACACGGCAAUAUGCAAAUUAAAUGCAAACAACAUUUUAAACAUUUUAAACAUGGAUGAGAGUUGGAUAUUAUGAAACUAGAUGAAAUUCUAAACAUUCUACAUAUAUAAUGUUUUUACAAAUGAUGCACGUUUAUUUAGUUAUUAAAUGUAUGAAUAGUAAGGUUUUUUCUACAAAACUGUACAUCCUGGGAUAAUUGGGAAAAUUCGUUGAGCAGAAGAGAAAAAAAAGAAUACUGGGCCGGAUUGAGAAGCACAGUGUAGAUCACUGGCGGAUUAGGCCCAAGCGCGUGGGUGACAGCGUUGAAAAAGGAAAACAGAGGAAAAUGCGAGGAGCCUGGGACUCGAUCCCAGGAACUCCUGCACAGAGCAAGGAAUUCUGACCAGUCUGGCUACUACUGAAUUCGUGAAGAAUCACAGUGGUAAUGCUAAAUGGACUAUAAAUGCCAGAACGGAUCUAGGAAAAGAAAGAAGUUUCAGUUACGAAGGAAGUUGCUCACAGCGGGGGAAAUAACAAGGCCGGCACCCAUGGCGGCAGGGAACUUGGCGCGGCGACGGUGAACUGGGGUCGCCGGGAUCCGAAGCGGCGGGGUCGAUCUCGGCCAGAUCGAUUCAAAACGAGGCAUGGAAGCCGGGGUGCUGCGGAAGAGGCCUGGCAGUGGGGAUGUGCUCCAGCGAGCUGUGGUGGAUCGAGGUGGUCCACCUGGCGGGGACGAGGAAGAUCGGGCGGUUCUGGUGGUGGAGACGAGGUCCUGUACGCCGGUGAUGGUACUCUGGUGGUCGGGCGGACGAGGCCUCGGGUGCUCGCGGCGCUUGUCCUCCUCUGCACUGCUUCGAUGCAGAGAAACCAGAGGCAGAGGCGAGGUGGGCAUGGCGCGGCAGAGCUCGGGCCCUGGGAUGCUGGCGAGGUGGCCAUCCGGGCGAGAAGACGAGCACGGGGGGUGGCCGGAGGACGCGGACCGGGGCCCUUAGCAGGGAAGCGGCGGCCAGCUCCUGGUGGUUGUGGUCGACGCCUUGGUCCCGGCAGGUUGGCGCGCGAGCCGGCGAGGAACUCUGGCGAUGGGUGACUGACGGGGCGAGCGCCAGCAAUGGGUAGAGGGAGGCGGAUCGGGUGGAGCUCAACUCCGGCGAGCUACUGCUCGUUGUCGGCCGGACAGAGACGGGUCGAGGGCGGCGGCGCUCCUGAGAGGCCGGCGCAGGAGAGCUCCAUCUUGGCGGCGCGGGAGUGCGCGGACAAAGGCGGCUGCGAGGACUCGGUGAUGUUGGUCUUCGGGAAGGACAAACGGGAGGCACGGGAGCUUGGCUCCAUGGAAGUGCUCGAGAGGGAGGGGAUCCAGGUGCGGUUCCUGCCGAUCCAAAAAGUGAGGGAGGCUGCGGCUUUGCUGUGGUUGGGCGGCAACGGAAAACAAGAGAGGCACGGGAGGAUGGUGGUUGGUUGUGGGUGAUCCCGAAGGGGAUUGAGCGGGUG